RNAcentral lists this ribosomal RNA (391 nucleotides) under uncultured bacterium. Its description in RNAcentral is "bacterial SSU rRNA". It matches the Rfam family "Bacterial small subunit ribosomal RNA", at positions 30 to 422 of the family's 1533-position model. The record is from RNAcentral.
AUUGAACGCUGGCGGCAUGCCUUACACAUGCAAGUCGAACGGCAGCACGGGAGCAAUCCUGGUGGCGAGUGGCGAACGGGUGAGUAAUAUAUCGGAACGUGCCCAGUCGUGGGGAUAACGUAGCGAAAGCUACGCUAAUACCGCAUACGAUCUAUGGAUGAAAGCGGGGGAUCGCAAGACCUCGCGCGAUUGGAGCGGCCGAUAUCAGAUUAGGUAGUUGGUGAGGUAAAGGCUCACCAAGCCGACGAUCUGUAGCUGGUCUGAGAGGACGACCAGCCACACUGGGACUGAGACACGGUCCAGACUCCUACGGGAGGCAGCAGUGGGGAAUCUUGGACAAUGGGCGAAAGCCUGAUCCAGCAAUGCCGCGUGCAGGAUGAAGGCCUGGUGU